This 72-nucleotide transfer RNA is filed under the name Camelus ferus (Wild Bactrian camel). It matches the Rfam family "tRNA". Rfam says of the family: Transfer RNA (tRNA) molecules are approximately 80 nucleotides in length. Lineage: Eukaryota; Metazoa; Chordata; Mammalia; Artiodactyla; Camelidae. The record is from Rfam by way of RNAcentral.
AGGGGUACAGCUCAGUGGUAGAGUGCAUGCUUAGCAUGUACGAGGACUUGGGUUCAAUCCCCAGUACCUCCA